AGAAGUCCUCAGUCCAUGUGACUCCGAGUCUGACGGAAACUCGUUUAGUAAUUCAGUUCGUAGCACACUUCAGUGGAGAAUCCUGUUCAAAACCAUCAUUGCUCGCGUUACCGAAAACUCGCCAACGGAAUGCGGCAGACAAUAGGCAGAUUCAACUGGAAGCUUAGCAUUAGAGUUGCCAACAAUUAAACAUUCCAACCGGAAAGGUGACGAUCUUGCCAGUGUGACAAACGAUUGGAAUGGACUCUUCAUUUAAACUUUGUUCAACGUUUACGUAUAGUGGAAAAUCCAAGGUUGCAUGCAGUACUUUAAUAUAAAGGUAAGUAGCCUUGCAGUUUUUCGUCCCUUCUCUUUUGGAAGGCAAUCAGCUCUUUAUAAAGCAUUGAUGAAAUGUAUUUUUCUCCUGUGGCUUUUUAUUUGACAACGUUGUAACAAUAAAAAAUAUUUCUAAA
Macrobrachium nipponense is the source of this 452-nucleotide long non-coding RNA. RefSeq lists it as uncharacterized. Lineage: Eukaryota; Metazoa; Arthropoda; Malacostraca; Decapoda; Palaemonidae. The transcript is spliced from 3 exons. The record is from RefSeq and is a predicted model, not a curated record.